AUUUACCUAUUGAUUUUAUUCAUAUAUCACUUUGUUGAAGAAAGGUGUGUUUUUUUUUAAUUUUAAAGAAAGUGUAGAAGAUGCAAUGGCUGUAUCAGUGCAAGAAUUAGUACCAAGUACAGAAAAGCCAUACAACACUCAACCUGUCGAUGAAUCAUCUAAUGACAGUUGUCUAAAUGACCCUGCACCAUCUGCUCUUAAAGAAACUGAUGAGCUGGACUCGGAACUCCCUGAUCAAAUAGGUGAACAUGAUGGUAUGUGAUUUAUGUAUGGUGAAUAAAUGGAUAAAACCCGCUGCUGUUGUCAUUAGUCAAUAUCUCCAAAAUUAAGCUUUUUAUAUCAGUAUUAAAGGUUUGUAACAGAUCUGUACUCUGCAAGUACUAUAGAUUCCUUUAUAUUUGUGGAUUGAGGAAAACUUGAAUUUUCAAUGAUAUUUAAUUUCGUUGUUUUGGCAAUCUGCAUGCAUUCCCCUAGAAAAUCUGUGAUUUGUUGACUAAUUAAUUCCUUUUCCCCUGUACCCAAAAAUCCAUGAAAAAUUGAAAAAUAUGAAAAGAUGAAAAGAUGAAAAGUAAUGAAUCACACAAUGAAUUUAAAUGACUGAUACAGAUAGAGCAUUAGACAUGAAUAGAUGUCAUAGUUACAAACACUAUAAAAUGAUUUACAAUUAUGAUUAUUAAAAAUUAUAAUUUAAAAAAUGAUAAUUAUGGAAAUUGUCAUGAUAUUUUGAUAUUUUAUAGCUAGAUAGUAAAGAUUGAAUUAAAUAGACCAGAUAUUGUUGUUUUAACAAGUUAUUUUUAUUUAAAGAUGAAAUGGAGACAAAAGUUCUUUUUGCAUCAAGGCCUCCUCAACAUUCAGAAUUAGUUACUAGUGUAACAGGAAGUGAAGCAUUAGAGCCAUACAAAACUGAAUCUGAUGGGGAAUCAGUUGACGAAACUUCACUUAAGGAUGUUGCUAAAGACCGUGCUUCAUCUGAACCUGUCAAAAUUGCUCCUCAAAGAGAUUUCCAGUAUAGUACAUCAGAUGAACAAAAGACGGGAGUGCAUUCCACUGUGCCUUUUAAAUUUAAAAGGGAAUAUAAAACAUUUAAUUUAAGAAAGAAAAGCUUUAAUUCCUCUUGCAAGUGGCCACUCUCUAAACCUUCUAUACCAGAAAUGGCCAACGCUGGAUUCUUCUGCAGUGGUAUGCUUAUUAUCCACAUCAUUUAAAUUUGAUUGCAUAUUUGAAAAAUAAUUUACAACUUUCACUCAUAUUUUGACACUCACAAUUUAGACCAAGGUUAAAUUUAGGUUACUAUGUACUUAACAUUUUAUAGAAUAAGGAAAACUGUGGAUUAAUUGAUUAUUGUGGAUACCAAUUUCAGGACAUUAGAAUUUGUGGUUUAUCUUUACCAACAAAAUCCUUAAAUUAAAGAAACUGGUAUUCCAUGAACAAUGAUUAAUCCACAGUUCAUACUUGUAAUGAAAAAAUUGAUGAACAUUAGGGCCAACAUUCGUAAAUAGGUAUAGGAAGAUGUGGUAUGAGUUCCAAUGAGACAACUCUCAAUAACCUAUUUAAUCGCUAUUUUACAGAAAUUUUCAUUUGAUCUUACUGAAUAAUUUCCUUUCUCUGCACAGUAGAGUGAUUUGAAAAUUUAUUCCUAGAAACAAAGGGCCCACAUGCCCAAUGUCAAUGAAGUUUAGAACGUAAAAAAGUGAUGAACAGAUUAUCAUUGGCCAUCUCAACUUGAUUGCUUUUAUCCAUACUGGCUCAAGAGAGAAAAUCAAUCUUGUUGAGAUGAUCAGAUAAUCUAUAAAUACAAACCAGUUAUGAAAUGAACAAAAUAAGUGAAUUAAAUUUUUAGCUCACCUGGCCCAAAGGGCCAAGUGAGCUUUUCUCAUCACUUGGCGUCCGGCGUCCAUAAACUUUUACAAAAAUCUUCUCCCGUGAAACUACUGGGCCAAAUUUAAACAAACUUGGCCACAAUCGUCAUUGGGGUAUCUACUUUAAAGAAUGUGUCCAGUCCCGGCCAACCAACCAAUAUGGCCACCAUGGCUAAAAAUAGAACAUAGGUGUAAAAUGUAGAUUUGGCUUAUAUCUCUGAAACCAAAGCAUUUAGAGCAAAUCUGACAUUGGAUAAAAUUGUUCAUCAGGUCAGAUCUAUCUGCCCUGAAAUUUUCAGACAAAUCGAACAUUCUGUUGUUGGGUUGCUGCUCCUGAAUUAGUAAUUUUAAGGAAAUUUUGCAGUUUUUGGUUAUUAUCUUCAAUAUUAUCUUAGAUAAAGAUAAACUGUAAACAGCAAUUAUGUAUAGCAAAGUACGAUCUACAAAUAAGUCAACUUGACCAAGUUCAUAAUAGAUUUAAGGUAGAUACAUGGUAUACCGCCAUCUUGGAUUGUACAAUCACAGUUCAAAAUCAGUAUAGUUAUUUGCCCAAAUCUGCAAAUUUUGAGACAGAUUUGUAGUUUAAUGAUUAAACUGAUUAUUUAUAUAAGGAAAACUUGAUGAUUUAUUGUAUAAUCGAAAAUAUUUACACAAAUACCAUUUUGUUUUGUUUUAAAAAUAUUUUUUUCAAAUGAGCCAUUUAAGGGGAGAUUACUUUUUUAGUAAAAAAUUUAUACUGGACUAAUAAGGAAAAAAUUUAUUUUUACUUGCAGCAAGAAAACAAGUUUGGUGUCCCCCGUUUUUAUUUUUAUUUUCUUAAAACAUGUAAUAAACAUUCUUCUCACAAUUUAUUUCAAAAUUCUGUCUCAUAGAAUUUUUUUUAUGCACACAAAUGUGUUUUUUCAUGAACAAUCUAACCAAAUUUAGGCAAUUUUCAACAACUCAUAGCUUGAUAAAUAGCACGGUGACCCAUAUUUUUUUUUAACAUAUUUGAAAAAAGCCUAGUAAAAUCUUCAUUUUGGCAAAUUAUAAGAAAAUUCUGUAUCAAAAAGUAUUUACUUAUGAUCUACCUUAAGAUAAUUGUAAGCAGCAAGAUAGUUCAGUAAAGUAAGAUCUACAAACACAUCACCAACACCAAAACACAAUUUUGUGAUGAAUCCAUAUGUGUCCUUUGGUUAAUAUGCAGAUAGACCAACGUCACAAAGGUGAGCAACACAGGCUCUUUAGAGCCUCUAGUUUUGUUUCUACAGAACAUUAUGGCUUUUUUUUUAUUUCUUAAAACAAUGUGGAUGAAAUGGUGGAAGUGCUUCUUAUUUCAAAUGUGAUUCACAAAUAAAAAAAGUAACAUUUUAAAUUUUGAUAGAAUUAUAUGUAUGCAGGCCAUUUCCUGAAAUUGUAAUAAUUAAUCUCACAGAUUGGUCUUUUUUUUUAAAUCACAAUUACAAAUGCAUGGAUACAUUUCUGAAUUCACAGUAUCUAAGUCUGGCAAUAUGCUCUACAAAGAGUUGUUAUAGAAAGCAGAACAUUUUGUCAAUAAGCUGUCAUACUCAGUCUGUAUAAAAGUUAAGCUACUUGUUGUUUCUUAUAGUUAAUCUAUUUUGUGUGUUUUAGGGUGUCUUACAUGGGCUCAGUGCUAUUCCUGUGGAUUAAAGAGGCUUUGGCAAGAAGGAGAUGAUCCAUUUGAUAAACUGUUGCAUGAUAAUUGUUCUCAUCUUAAACACAUAAAGGAAAAAAAGGUCAGCAUGAAAUAACCAAAGAAUUAAAACCUAUAUGGAGUCCUUUAUAUCCAAUGUUGCCAUGGCUAGUUGCAACAUAGGAUGACCUCAAUUGUAUUACAUUGUGUACAAUGUUUUAGUUUCAAAAUGAUUUCUAAUAUGUCUAUCUGACCAACCUGAAUAACAGGAGUCACCAAAAAUACAGAACUGCACAACAGACAUCAAAAACCACUGACACAAGACUCCAAAAACAAAUAAACACACAAAACAAUAGCAAGAAAGACAAACAAAAAGUAAAAUCACAAAAGUACUGAACUCCGAGGAAAAUUAAAAAUGGAAAGUCCCUAAUCAAAUGGCAAAAUAAAAAGGAAUGGAUAACAACUGUAACAUUCCUGACUUGGAACAGGUAUUUUCUUAUGUAGAAAAUUGUGGAUUAAACCUGGUUGUAAAGCUAGCUAAACCUCUCACUUAACAACACAUGGUUCACAUAGUUCAGAUAGACUGACCAGGUAUAGGUCUAAAACUUAACUGAUGAUAUGACCAAAUUGCAAAGUUUCACAUCUUUCUAUAAUAAUUGUUAAAGAUUUAUUUUGGUUAUUUCUGUUGUUGGUUUGAUUUCUCAUUGAUGUGUAUGUUUUAGUUCCUUUUAUUCAUGCUUUGCCUGUCUAACCUCUACAAAGUUGCUGAAGCAAGACUAAGGCAAAAUUUGUAAAUAGAUCAGUUUAUGGUAAACCACUAAGGUUAGUCAGUGGUUUUUUUUUUGUAUUGGCACAUCUCAUUUUUAAGGACAUUUCUUGGUCCUGCUCUAUUGAUUAGAUUAAAUUUAAUUAGACUAUCAUAAUGUAUGGAGGUGUAAUACAACCAAAUCAUGGUACGUCACAUCCAAUGUAUACAAAAAUAGGUUGAAAAAAAAAUUUCCCUUGAAUAUGACAGUUGUAGGUAAUUAAUCCUACAUUUUAUUGUAGUAAAAGAUUUCUGUGUCAUAAACAUAUGUCUUGGGUAUUUCUAAGCACCAUUAUUUUUUUAUUUGGGAUUUCUAUAGAACAUUUUGUAAUCUUUAGGUUACAUGGUGACUAAACCUUGUACACAAUAAAAAUAAGGGGAGAUAUUUGAUUGGUUAAUUUCCAGUGAUGGUCAUUUUCUUAUAUGCAAUGAAAUGUUAUAUGAAUUUUUUUCUAUAGUGUUGGACAGGAUAAAACUUGACUCAUGCCAAGUUUUUCUUUAUUUGAAACAAAGAUAAAUUCUACACUUUUUUUUGAAAAGUGCAAAUUUAACAAAGACUAUAAAUAGGGGAAAAUCAAUGGUGGUAUUACACCUAAUAUGGGAAGCUGUACAUUCACCUUUUCUCUUCUCCUUCUCGCUGUGGUGUCCAAAUCAGUGUUCAACUCUUUAACUUAAAAAGUAACUUUAUUUAAAAGGUGUUUUGUACCAUAACUAAAAAUCGAUUUAUGAUAUUGCUUAAAUUUUUACAUACUUUUUAGUUAUAUUCAUCUCAAGAUCUGUAUACUUUUGGGGAUGAUUCAAAAUUUUAUUUUAGAGUUCUUCAGAUUUUUGUAAAACAAAUUGUCACAUGUCAGGCCGUAUUUCAAAAACCAUUUAUGAUUGUUACUUCAAAAUGUACAGACUUCUCAAUUGUAUUAAUCUUAAGAUCUGUAUACUUUUUGGUGAUGAUUCAAAAUUUUAUUUUAGAGUUAUUGAGGUUUUUGUAAAAAACAUGUCAGGCCAUAUUACAAACACAAUUUAUGAUAAUUACUUUAAACUUUACACACUUCUUAAUUGUAUUAAUCUUAAAACGAUUUAUUUUUUUUUGCUUAAACUUCAAACAAGACGACGAGCGAAUCAUGAGCUCAUGGUGCAGCUGUUUAUUCAGCCAAUAUUUUUAUUGCAUUAAUAAAUAUUUUAUAACAUUUUAUUUAUAUAUGUAUUGUAUCAAUCAUACACACUGAACUUACAUGCUCUGCCAAUUUUAUAGAUCCAAACUUAUAUUUAUGCUAAUUUAAUAUAUUUUUAGGCAUCUGGUGAAGUUUAUGAUAGUACCAACCCUUAGCUAACAGAAUUGGUGGCAAAAUCAAUGUUGAAAUGGAGUAAAAACAAUGAAACAUGCUUUUGUUAGACUACCUGCAUGAUUUCAAAUUAUUCCAUAUGACAAUGAAACGACUUCUUUGUACAGCUAACGAUAGUUCCAUGAGCAGAUAGUUGUUGAUCUGAUGAUAACAUUUUAUGUGAUUCUUUUAAAACAAGAAUUGGGCCAAAGGGUAGUGUUCAGUUUUAUAGAAAGAUGUUGAACUAAGCGUUGAUUUCAAAUACUGCUAUUUUAAGGAAGGAAGUCAUUUUGAAAUGCAUCAAAUGCAUUUUCACUCAUUAAUCAUAUAUCUUGGUAGCUGCGGAACCGUAUCCCUUAUGUCCUUAUGUGGUUUUUUUUACUAUUUCUGAGGACCAUAGAGCUACGGAUUUUUCCUAUUUCAAAACAUUCUGAAUUGCGACUCAGGUUCAGGUCGCACUUUACACUAUUAUCUGAUUAUUCACAUUUGGAUACAUUUUCCGCCUAUUUUGUUCAGCCAUAUUGAAUCUUGUUGUGACGUCACGAUAAAGAAGAAAAGAUAACUCUUAUUGGAAAACACAUGUUGGUUUGUUUACGUUGUCUUUUAUUGUAAUUUGAAUACUUUUUUUUUUUAAUGAAAUAACUUUUAAUUAAAUUUAAAUACUAAUGGAAAUAAUAAUCCUUCAAAGUUAUUAAAAUAUUUCGUGUGAAAUAAUGUUGUAAAGCAUAAAAAUCACUUGAUUAUUGCUUAGAAAUAAGUAAACAAACUAACGCUUGUCUUCCUAUAAGAGUUAUCUGUUCUUGUUUUUCAUAGGCGUACCUUGGUACAUGUUGUAGUAGUACUGGUUAUGAAAAAAAAAUACAUUGGAAGGUAUGACCAGUAUAUUGUGUUGUGGAGUUAUUAAUGGUUAUGCUGCUGUUAUUUUGCUGUUAUUUUGUUUGACACAUUUGUAUGUAAUAUUUUCUAAACUGUAAAUAUGGUGAAUCACUCGAUAAUGAGUCUAAAUAUAUAAUAUAAAGAUGUUAUACUCUUUGAAACAGUUAGAGAUAUUGUAUAUAAGUUAUUAAAGUCUUUCAGAUAUGUUUGCUGUCUUUCAUAUUAAUUUAAAAUUAAGUGAUACAUUAUUUUUUUAAGUUAAUUUUGUGAUAUCUUUGUCUUUCAUGCAAUGCAAUCUUGGAGAAUAGCUAGAUUAGUUUGUUUAUUGAAUAUUGUUAUAUUGCUUAUAUUUGUAAUUUUUUCAUGCAUAUGUCAAUUUUAUAUAUCAGUAAAAUCUAUCCAGUAGUAUACAAUUUGUCCCCCAGACUUUGUUAUGAAUUUUAAAGUCUUUUUAAUAUGGUAGUUCUCCUAAUGUUGAAAUAUCAUUAUUGAAAUAAUUUCAAAAAUAGGAAAAUCUCAGCCUUAUGUUUGCCUAAAGCAAAUUUUUAGCUCACCUGGCCCGAAGGGCCAAGUGAGCUUUUCUCAUCACUUGGCGUCCGGCGUCCGUCGUCGUCCGUCGUCGUCGUCUGUCGUCGUCCUGCGUCCGGCGUUAACUUUUACAAAAAUCUUCUCCUCUGAAACUACUAGGCCAAAUUUAACCAAACUUGGCCACAAUCAUCAUUGGGGUAUCUAGUUUAAAAAUUGUGUCCGGUGACCCCGCCAACUAACCAAGAUGGCCGCCAUGGCUAUAAAUAGAACAUAGGGGUAAAAUGCAGUUUUUGGCUUAUAACUCAAAAACCAAAGCAUUUAGGGCAAAUCUGACAGGGGGUAAUAUUGUUAAUCAGGUUAAGAUCUAUCUGCUCUGAAAUUUUCAGAUGAAUCUGACAUUCCGUUGUUAGGUUGCUGCCCCUGAAUUGGUAAUUUUAAGGAAAUUUUGAUGUUUUUGGUUAUUAUCUUGAAUAUUAUUUUAGAUAGAGAUAAACUGUAAAAAGCAAUAAUGUUCAGCAAAGUAAGAUCUACAAAUAAGUCAACAUGACCAAAAUGAUCAGUUGACCACUUUAGGAGUUAUUGCCCUUUAUAGUCAAUUUUUAACCAUUUUUCGUAAAUCUUAGUAAUCUUUUAGAAAAAUCUUCUCCUCUGAAACUGCUGGACCAAAUUAUUUGAAACUUGGCCACAAUCAUCUAACCAACUAACCAAGAUGACCGCCAUGGCUAUAAAUAGAACAUAGGGGUAAAAUGCAGUUUUUGGCUUAUAACUCAAAAACCAAAGCAUUUAGAGCAAAUCUGACAUGGAUAAAAUUGUUAAUCAGGUGAAGAUCUAUCUGCCCUGAAAUUUUCAGAUGAAUUGGACAACCUGUUUUUGGGUUGCGGCCCCUGAAUUGUUAAUUUUAAGGAAAUUUUGCUGUUUUUGGUUAUUAUAUUGAAUAUUAUUAUAGAUAUAGGUAAACUGUAAACAGCAAUAAUGUUCAGCAAGGUCAGAGUUACAAAUAAGUCAACAUGACCAAAAUGGUCAGUGACCUCUUUAGGAGUUAUUGCCCUUUAAAGUCAAUUUUUAACCAUUUUUCGUAAAUUUUAUAUAUCUUUUACUAAAAUCUUCUUCUCUGAAACUGCUGUGCCAAAUUGAUCCAAACUUGGCCACAAUCAUCUUUGGGGUUUCUUGUUUAAAAAUGUGUCCGGUGACCUGGCCAUCAAACCAAGAUGGCCGCCACGGCUAAAAAUAGAACAUAGGGGUAAAAUGCAGUUUUUGGCUUAUAACUCAAAAACCAAAUAAUUUAGAGAAAAUCUGACAUGAAGUAAAAUUGUUAAUCAGGUCAAGAUCUAUCUGCCCUGAAAUUUUCAGAUGAAUUGGACAACCUGUUUUUGGGUUGCGGCCCCUGAAUUGGUAAUUUUAAGGACAUUUUGCUGUUUUUGGUUAUUAUAUUGAAUAUUAUUAUAGAUAUAGGUAAACUAUAAACAGCAAUAAUUUUCAGCAAAGUAAGAUCUACAAAUAAGUAAACAUGAACGAAAUGGUCAAUUGACCCCUGUAGGAGUUAUUGACCUUUGUAGUCAAUUUUCAAUCUGCUUCCUUUAUUUAAUAUUCACAUAGACCAAGGUGAGCGACACAGGCUCUUUAGAGCCUCUAGUUUAAUAAAAUUACCAAUAAGUGUCCGAAGAGGUUUUAAAGGUUCUGUGAUUCCAUACUCUCUUUUUUUUUAUGAAUUUCAAUAAGGGCUUAAUUUGGCCCAAUUCGUUUUCAUUGCUAAAUUUGAACUUUGUUUUAGAUUUCUAUUUUGAGAUUGCUUAUAAGUUCGAACUCUUGUGUGUAAAAUUAAAAGCCAAUACAAUUUGAUCCAAGAAGUUAUGAUAAAUGCAGUUGUGUCAUCAAAACAGGGCUCUCACUGGUUCAUAUGAAAAAUAUGUGCUGUCAUUUCAUGCUUAUGUUUUUGAACUGACAAAAUUAAUAGUGUUUAAACAUUGUAAUCCAACCUUUAUGUUUAAAUAAAACAAAUAAUUUAUAAAGUUUAACUUUGCUGCACUUUCAUAGAAACUUUGAAAAAAUGCAUUUAAGGUAUAAUUUGAUUUGCAUUUUUUAUGCCCCACCUACGAUAGUAGAGGGGCAUUAUGUUUUCUGGUCUGUGCGUCCGUCCGUCCAUCUGUCCAUUCGUUCGUCCGUCCGUCUGUCCGUUCGUCCGUCCGUCUGUCCCGCUUCAGGUUAAAGUUUUUGGUCAAGGUAGUUUUUGAUGAAGUUUAAGUCCAAUCGACUUCAAACUUAGUACAAGUGUCCCCUAUGAUAUGAUCUUUCUAAUUUUAAUGCCAAAUUAGAGUUUUUACCCCAAUUUCACGGUCCACUGAACAUGGAAAAUGAUAGUGCGAGUGGGGCAUUCGUGUACUGAGGACACAUUCUUGUUUACAAGAUAUUUUACAGAUCCCUAAUACUCAUUGUACAUCCUUCUUUGUUAUUGUUUUCAUUUGAAAUGAACUAUUGAGGUAUAUUUCACAGAAUUUGUCAUGGGAUGAUGACUUGUCAUGCCAUAAACUUACGAAAUGACAAGGGACAUUUUAUUAAUUUCAUAACAAUCCUCCAAAUAUAAAAAAAUAGAUGUGGUAUGAUUGCCAAUGAGACAACUCUUUAAAAGAGACCAAAUGACACAGAAAUUAACAACUGUAGGUCACUUUACGGGCACAUACUUACAGAAUGUGGCAAGGUUAAACAUGUUAGCAUGAUCUCAACCCUCCUCCUAACCUAGGACAGGGAUGUAACAGUACAAUAUAAAAAUAAACUAUAAAAAUGAGUUGCAAAAGACUAAACUCAUCAGAUGGUUACAAAUAGAAAUACAGAUAAAAAAAGAAUACCAUUUUGGAAAUUAUUGAAUUAACACAAUUUUCAUGCUAUUAUCAUACAGUAAACAUUAAGAGUUAUUUACCCUGACUAU
Molecule: long non-coding RNA, 9943 nt
Filed under: Mytilus galloprovincialis (Mediterranean mussel)
Lineage: Eukaryota; Metazoa; Mollusca; Bivalvia; Mytilida; Mytilidae
Source: RNAcentral